RNAcentral lists this long non-coding RNA (540 nucleotides) under Homo sapiens (human). RNAcentral describes it as "non-protein coding lnc-IQGAP3-2:4". The record is from RNAcentral. Lineage: Eukaryota; Metazoa; Chordata; Mammalia; Primates; Hominidae.
CCUAUCACAGCACUCCCACUACCACAGUACAGCCUCAGGGAGGACAUUUUCUUUCUUUCUUUCUUUCUUUUUUUUUUUUUUGAAACCACCUCCUUGCUCUUGGCGCCCCUAUUGUCUCUGGCUACCUCCUUGUCCCACCACCUCCAGGCUGCAUCCCACCUUCCCUCUUGGCUACUGUAAUUGUAAAUAGCGACCUUUGGAAAACGUUAGCGGUGUAACAGUCCAGGAAACUGUUUUUUUUUGUUGUUGUUGUAUUGAUAUGAAAUGAGAUUCUAUUUUUGUCAAAGUAUAUUGUAAUAAUAAUGACUCAAACGGCCCGUACUGUACAGACGAGAUUCUUCUGCUGUUGUUCUUGCUCCCCUCCCCUCCUCUGAGUCCGCCCCUCCCUGCUGCCUCCUCAGUGGGGCAGUGGGCAAGGGGCCCAGGGGCAGCCGAAGCACGGGGUCCUGAGACCUCAGGCAGGAUUGGAGAUCAAACCAGAGGGGGCAGGCCCCCAGCCUGCUCUCUAGGAUCACCCCCCGCCCUAAGGGGCCUGGCCUG